RNAcentral lists this ribosomal RNA (760 nucleotides) under Bacillus sp. (in: firmicutes). Its description in RNAcentral is "bacterial SSU rRNA". It matches the Rfam family "Bacterial small subunit ribosomal RNA", at positions 8 to 750 of the family's 1533-position model. The record is from RNAcentral. Lineage: Bacteria; Bacillati; Bacillota; Bacilli; Caryophanales; Bacillaceae.
AGAGUUUUGAACCUGGCUCAGGACGAACGCUGGCGGCGUGCCUAAUACAUGCAAGUCGAGCGGACAGAAGGGAGCUUGCUCCCGGAUGUUAGCGGCGGACGGGUGAGUAACACGUGGGUAACCUGCCUGUAAGACUGGGAUAACUCCGGGAAACCGGAGCUAAUACCGGAUAGUUCCUUGAACCGCAUGGUUCAAGGAUGAAAGACGGUUUCGGCUGUCACUUACAGAUGGACCCGCGGCGCAUUAGCUAGUUGGUGGGGUAAUGGCUCACCAAGGCGACGAUGCGUAGCCGACCUGAGAGGGUGAUCGGCCACACUGGGACUGAGACACGGCCCAGACUCCUACGGGAGGCAGCAGUAGGGAAUCUUCCGCAAUGGACGAAAGUCUGACGGAGCAACGCCGCGUGAGUGAUGAAGGUUUUCGGAUCGUAAAGCUCUGUUGUUAGGGAAGAACAAGUGCGAGAGUAACUGCUCGCACCUUGACGGUACCUAACCAGAAAGCCACGGCUAACUACGUGCCAGCAGCCGCGGUAAUACGUAGGUGGCAAGCGUUGUCCGGAAUUAUUGGGCGUAAAGGGCUCGCAGGCGGUUUCUUAAGUCUGAUGUGAAAGCCCCCGGCUCAACCGGGGAGGGUCAUUGGAAACUGGGAAACUUGAGUGCAGAAGAGGAGAGUGGAAUUCCACGUGUAGCGGUGAAAUGCGUAGAGAUGUGGAGGAACACCAGUGGCGAAGGCGACUCUCUGGUCUGUAACUGACGCUGAG